GAAGAAAAUGCUGGGGUGAAGCGAGAGCACAGGUGAAAGACCUGGUUUUCCUUAAAUGGAUAAAGCCUCAGAGGCUUUUAUAUUCUUGGAGGACCCAGUCCUGAUUCUUCUGAUCAUUUUUCAAAUCAACUUAAUGAAUAUGAGAUGGGCUGUACAUUAAACUGAUAUAACAGGAGUGUCAGCAGCUAUAGUGAAGUUUCAAGAAGGGGGAAUGCUGUCGGGACUGAGCAGGCAAUGGCCUAAAAACAAUAAAAA
Molecule: long non-coding RNA, 255 nt
Filed under: Homo sapiens (human)
Lineage: Eukaryota; Metazoa; Chordata; Mammalia; Primates; Hominidae
Description: non-protein coding lnc-ADAM32-1:1
Source: RNAcentral